UUUUUUACACCAGAUUUUCAACCUUUUAUCCCUAAAAUCCCCAGUUUUAACCCCCAAAUCCCCCUCUUUAAACUCCAAAACUGCUAUUUCUGACCACAAAAAUCCCCAUGUUUAACCCCAAAUUCUCAGUUUUUAACCAAAAUCCCAACUUUUGACCCCUUAUUGCUGGACAUUUUUGUACUCAUUUUUUUUUUUCCUUUAUCCCAGUAUGGGAACUGUCAGGUCCCAGCCUGAGCCGGUGAUUGUGCACCUGGUGAGGGGUGUAGCCAGCCUUGCCAGCACAGGUGGGAGCCGUUCACCUGUGGGAUGCAGCCAGGCUCCACCCCUCCCUGGGCUCAUUUAAGGGCUGGCAGCUGUAAGGGCAGCAUCUGUACCUGGAGGCUGCUUCCUUUGGAGUGUGGAAUGAGCCCUGGUUCUUGGAAAGCUAUCCCUGCAGCUGUGGGACCCGAUGGUGUGACAAAGCGAGGCCUCUGGUCUGCUGAACACUGGGACCAGCACAGAGAGGCCCUGUGACCAUUGUGGAUCGUACCGAGAGCUGCACUCGGUGAGGUUUCCCAGAGCUGAUCAGCACGUGGAAUUUCCCACCUGCCCCAACUGUGCCCUGAUCUCCAAACUCCUGUGCAUCGUCGUGUCUCACAGCCCCAGGCAUCUCGCUGUGGUGCUGCUGGUGGCAGCAAGGAACUGUGGUGCUCCUGGGCGGUGCCAGAACUGCAUGGAGAUCUGUGGCUCUUCAUGAAGUCAGCAAGAAAUGGAAAGCUACAUUUCCUAGAAUGCCCUGGAACCUGACUUUGCUGACUGGUAACUCACUACCCAUAUGGGUAAGGGCAAUGUACACCUACCAGCGUUUACCCAUUCCGUAGCGUGGCUCCACCUAAUGCUGCCAGAGCUCGUUACUGUGCUUAAAGGUUCCCUACAGGCUGCUGGUCCUCUUCCUCCUGCGUUCUCCUUGCCUCUGGCCUGUCUAAUCUAAUCCAGACAAGUUACCAUAAGGGUGCAACUCAGAGUGCAGUACAACUCAGAACCCAUUGAGACCCUGCACUUGCAGGCCCUACACCUACACUGUAGUGCUGCUGCUCCCACCCCUGUCCCUCUCGUCUCCUGGGCACCAUUUCUAAACUAGCUCUGCAGCUCUGGAACUUGAUGCUUUGAAGAAGGAAGGCCCUCAGACUCAACUCAGUUGACUGGCUGCCCUGAUAG
Molecule: long non-coding RNA, 1197 nt
Organism: Numida meleagris (helmeted guineafowl)
Lineage: Eukaryota; Metazoa; Chordata; Aves; Galliformes; Numididae
Exons: 3
Source: RefSeq, a predicted model, not a curated record